Molecule: ribosomal RNA, 909 nt
Filed under: Fonsecaea pedrosoi
Lineage: Eukaryota; Fungi; Ascomycota; Eurotiomycetes; Chaetothyriales; Herpotrichiellaceae
Description: LSU rRNA
Rfam family: Eukaryotic large subunit ribosomal RNA
Source: RNAcentral
UAGCAUAUCAAUAAGCGGAGGAAAAGAAACCCAACAGGGAUUGCCUCAGUAACGGCGAGUGAAGCGGCAACAGCUCAAAUUUGAAAUCUGGCCUCUUGGGGUCCGAGUUGUAAUUUGUAGAGGAUGUUUCGGGUACCGCCUCGGUUUAAAUUUCUUGGAACAGAAUGUCAAAGAGGGUGAGAAUCCCGUCUUGGACCGGCGGUAGGGCCUAUGUGAAACUCCUUCGACGAGUCGAGUUGUUUGGGAAUGCAGCUCAAAAUGGGUGGUAAAUUUCAUCUAAAGCUAAAUAUUGGCCAGAGACCGAUAGCGCACAAGUAGAGUGAUCGAAAGAUGAAAAGCACUUUGAAAAGAGAGUUAAACAGUAUGUGAAAUUGUUGAAAGGGAAGCGCUUGCAACCAGACUUGAGCGCGGCGGUUCCCCCUUGCUUCUGCUUGGGUUACUCCGCCGUGUCCAGGCCAACAUCGGUUCUGGGGGUCGGUCAAAGGCUCUGGGAAUGUAUCUACCCACGGGUAGACUUAUAGACCAGGGUGUCAUGCGACCUCCCGGGACCGAGGAACGCGCUUCGGCUCGGAUGUUGGCGUAAUGGUUGUCAGCGACCCGUCUUGAAACACGGACCAAGGAGUCUAACAUCUAUGCGAGUGUUUGGGUGUCAAACCCGGAACGCGGAAUGAAAGUGAACGGAGGUAGGAAGCUUCGGCUGCACUAUCGACCGAUCCUGAAGUUUACGGAUGGAUUUGAGUAAGAGCAUAGCUGUUGGGACCCGAAAGAUGGUGAACUAUGCCUGAAUAGGGUGAAGCCAGAGGAAACUCUGGUGGAGGCUCGCAGCGGUUCUGACGUGCAAAUCGAUCGUCAAAUUUGGGUAUAGGGGCGAAAGACUAAUCGAACCAUCUGGUAGCUGGUUCCUGCCGA